AGUGAAAAAGAACCUGAAACCGUGUACGUACAAGCAGUGGGAGCACCUUCGGGUGUGACUGCGUACCUUUUGUAUAAUGGGUCAGCGACUUAUAUUCUGUAGCAAGGUUAACCGUAUAGGGGAGCCGCAGGGAAACCGAGUCUUAACUGGGCGUUAAGUUGCAGGGUAUAGACCCGAAACCCGGUGAUCUAGCCAUGGGCAGGUUGAAGGUUGGGUAACACUAACUGGAGGACCGAACCGACUAAUGUUGAAAAA
This 255-nucleotide ribosomal RNA is filed under the name Klebsiella quasipneumoniae subsp. similipneumoniae. Its description in RNAcentral is "partial 23S ribosomal RNA". It matches the Rfam family "Bacterial large subunit ribosomal RNA", at positions 537 to 796 of the family's 2925-position model. The record is from RNAcentral. Lineage: Bacteria; Pseudomonadati; Pseudomonadota; Gammaproteobacteria; Enterobacterales; Enterobacteriaceae.